This 500-nucleotide ribosomal RNA is filed under the name uncultured bacterium. RNAcentral's name for it is "partial 16S ribosomal RNA". It matches the Rfam family "Bacterial small subunit ribosomal RNA", at positions 30 to 523 of the family's 1533-position model. The record is from RNAcentral.
AUUGAACGCUGGCGGCAUGCCUUACACAUGCAAGUCGAACGGCAGCACGGGAGCAAUCCUGGUGGCGAGUGGCGAACGGGUGAGUAAAGUAUCGGAACGUGCCCAGUCGUGGGGGAUAACGUAGCGAAAGUUACGCUAAUACCGCAUACGAUCUAUGGAUGAAAGCGGGGGAUCGCAAGACCUCGCGCGAUUGGAGCGGCCGAUAUCAGAUUAGGUAGUUGGUGGGGUAAAGGCUCACCAAGCCGACGAUCUGUAGCUGGUCUGAGAGGACGACCAGCCACACUGGGACUGAGACACGGCCCAGACUCCUACAGGAGGCAGCAGUGGGGAAUUUUGGACAAUGGGCGAAAGCCUGAUUCAGCCAUGCCGCGUGCAGGAUGAAGGCCUUCGGGUUGUAAACUGCUUCUGUACGGAACGAAAAGGUUUGGCCUAAUAAGCUGAGCUCAUGACGGUACCGUAAGAAUAAGCACCGGCUAACUACGUGCCAGCCGCCGCAGUAA